AAAAUUGAAAGAAAAGAAAAUGCUUGGAGUGUUCAUCUGUUGCACAAGUAUCUUGUGUCUUAAGUUCCUCUUCCAUUGCAUUUUAAAGGCUUCUUUCCAACUCACCUAACUUAUAAAGGGAAAUUUCAUCAGGUCAAAAGAAACAAAUUUCACAAUAUAUUCUCUACAUAAAAAAUUGAUCAAAAGGGUAAAAGAACAAGUUAAUAAAGUUUUCAUUCUCUUUUCUCUCUUUUCACUACCAGU
Molecule: unclassified non-coding RNA, 243 nt
Filed under: Hevea brasiliensis (rubber tree)
Lineage: Eukaryota; Viridiplantae; Streptophyta; Magnoliopsida; Malpighiales; Euphorbiaceae
Source: RNAcentral